Long non-coding RNA from Budorcas taxicolor (takin), 608 nucleotides. RefSeq lists it as uncharacterized. The transcript is spliced from 3 exons. The record is from RefSeq and is a predicted model, not a curated record. Lineage: Eukaryota; Metazoa; Chordata; Mammalia; Artiodactyla; Bovidae.
UGUGGAAUAAACAUCCUGGGCUGUGAGCGUCCACACUGUGAGCCCUGAGAGGGCAGGGCUCUGCCCUUGUUCAUGAUUCUGUAGAUGACCACCGGUCAAGUGCUUGUCGAGGCCAGGGGAUAUACCAGGAAAUACGACGUAGCGUGUGCCAUCAUCGAAUGCAGUGUAACAUAGUGCAACAGAAAUGCAAUCAAGCCAUUGCGGGACAGUGUGGUUGCAACAAUAAAAGACCCUGAUGCUGGGAAAAAUUGACGGCAGGAGAAGGGAGCAACAGAGGAUGAGAUGGUUGGAUAGCAUUAUCAACUCAACAGACAGUCACUUCUUGAUGGCUGCCACUUGUAUCACAGCCAGACCUCGGAGGACCACCCUUUGAAAGCAGACAGGGCAAAUUCCUGGCCGGUCAAAUCAUUAGGUAGAAAUUUCCAUGGGUUCCCGUUUCCUGAGCCUGAAAAAGUGGCAAGAGCACUAGUUUCUGUUUUGAUUUGUUUUGCUUUCCCUGGAAGAUAACUCAAACAUAUCUUCUUUAGUAGACUGCUGCCAACAAACCAAAUCCCACCAUGCAUAUUCUUGGCUUCAUUAAUUUUUUUCCCAUUUAUUAAAAUAAUAUU